GACGUAUUACGUAUAUAUGAUGUCUUUUGUAAAGAUUAUUAUCAAGGUUAAGGAUUUAGGUUUAAAUAUUUUUUUUAGGAUAUCUAUACAUUAAUUUUUAAUCUUCUAUAAUUCUUUCUUUUCGUUUUCUUUUUAUUUCUCCAUUCAAUUGUAUUUUUAUUCUAAAAUAAUUUUUAGUAUAUAUUUUUUCAUAUUAUUAACCAAUCAAAUAUAAAUAAUUUUUUAUAUUUUAUUUUUUUAUUUAAUUUAUAAAAUUUUACUAUAAUUUUUAUCCG
RNAcentral lists this long non-coding RNA (275 nucleotides) under Ananas comosus (pineapple). RNAcentral describes it as "long non-coding RNA (ACOM_LNC007119)". Lineage: Eukaryota; Viridiplantae; Streptophyta; Magnoliopsida; Poales; Bromeliaceae. The record is from RNAcentral.